UACGGAGGGUGCAAGCGUUAUCCGGAAUUAUUGGGCGUAAAGGGCGCGCAGGCGGCUUCCUAAGUCUGAUGUGAAAGGCCACGGCUCAACCGUGGAAUGGCAUUGGAAACUGGGGAGCUUGAGUACAGGAGAGGAGAGUGGAAUUCCACGUGUAGCGGUGAAAUGCGUAGAUAUGUGGAGGAACACCAGUGGCGAAGGCGGCUCUCUGGCCUGUAACUGACGCUGAGGCGCGAAAGCGUGGGGAGCAAACAGG
RNAcentral lists this unclassified non-coding RNA (253 nucleotides) under uncultured Caryophanales bacterium. Its description in RNAcentral is "uncultured Bacillales bacterium contains 16S-23S intergenic spacer region". It matches the Rfam family "Bacterial small subunit ribosomal RNA", at positions 524 to 776 of the family's 1533-position model. Lineage: Bacteria; Bacillati; Bacillota; Bacilli; Caryophanales. The record is from RNAcentral.